UGGGGAAUCUUGGACAAUGGGGGCAACCCUGAUCCAGCGAUGCCGCGUGAGUGAAGAAGGCCUUCGGGUCGUAAAGCUCUUUAGGUUGGGAAGAAGGUUAUUAGGGGAUAAUCCUAGUAAUUUGACUGUACCGACAAAAUAAGCACCGGCAAACUCUGUGCCAGCAGCCGCGGUAAUACAGAGGGUGCGAGCGUUAAUCGGAGUUACUGGGCGUAAAGGGCGCGUAGGCGGUGAGAUGAGUGUGAUGUGAAAGCCCUGGGCUUAACCUAGGAAGUGCAUCGCAAACGAUCUGACUGGAGUAUAUGAGAGGGUGGCGGAAUUUCCGGUGUAGCGGUGAAAUGCGUAGAGAUCGGAAGGAACGUCAAUGGCGAAGGCAGCCACCUGGCAUAAUACUGACGCUGAGGCGCGAAAGCGUGGGGAGCGAACAGG
This 429-nucleotide ribosomal RNA is filed under the name uncultured bacterium. Its description in RNAcentral is "bacterial SSU rRNA". It matches the Rfam family "Bacterial small subunit ribosomal RNA", at positions 355 to 776 of the family's 1533-position model. The record is from RNAcentral.